UUUGCAUGGCAGCGCCCCAGAAAUCCUCCGGCCCCGCGAUCAACACCGACGACAAGGUGGUGUCGAAGAUUGAGGACGCUCAGGAGAUUUGCGCGGGUGAUAACCAGUCGGAGGAGUGCGCUGCAGCAUGGGACGAGGUGGAUGCAGCUGCUAAGGAGAAGGCCAAGACUGACGAUCCCUUGGACAAGUUUUGCAACGACAACCCCGAGGCUGAUGAGUGCCGCGUCUACAACGACUGAGCAAUCUCCUCACCCAGUUGCUUGAAAAUCAAGGGAGCCCCCCCCCCCCCCCCCCCUUCCACCUCCUAGUCAUCUCGUCGUUUCAAUAGUUACAUAGAAGCUCUACUUAACAUUCCAAGUAAUCUAGUUAACUCAGAUAUUCGUAUGGAGAUUCCAUUUUUACUGAUCGUGAAACCAAUUAACGCCAACAAGUAGAUACCACCAGCAUCUAGCUCCUGUCUUGCUGCCUCCAUUCGCGAUGUCGAGAAUCACGAGCCUUCGGUGAGGCAGCGUCUUGUACUCAUCGUCAAACUCCAGAUCAAGUGCCAUUUCUCGUAUUUCAUUGGAAUUUUCUGUCCGGCACCUACUCUAACAUUACCAUGUGUCUCGCAACACCCCAGGGGGAGAGGAGGUAUCAGAGGCGCCGGUAUUCGCAGCUCUCACAGCGGACUGCCCAUACCUUGUGAAGCCUCAUCACCGUGCCGUUCUCAAGCAAAGGUGACUGUAAUGU
RNAcentral lists this long non-coding RNA (729 nucleotides) under Physcomitrium patens. RNAcentral's name for it is "long non-coding RNA (PPAT_LNC012235)". Lineage: Eukaryota; Viridiplantae; Streptophyta; Bryopsida; Funariales; Funariaceae. The record is from RNAcentral.